UACGUAGGGUGCAAGCGUUAAUCGGAAUUACUGGGCGUAAAGCGUGCGCAGGCGGUUUUGUAAGUCUGACGUGAAAUCCCCGGGCUCAACCUGGGAAUGGCGUUGGAGACUGCAAGGCUAGAAUCUGGCAGAGGGGGGUAGAAUUCCACGUGUAGCAGUGAAAUGCGUAGAGAUGUGGAGGAACACCGAUGGCGAAGGCAGCCCCCUGGGUCAAGAUUGACGCUCAUGCACGAAAGCGUGGGGAGCAAACAGG
This 253-nucleotide ribosomal RNA is filed under the name uncultured bacterium. RNAcentral describes it as "partial 16S ribosomal RNA". It matches the Rfam family "Bacterial small subunit ribosomal RNA", at positions 524 to 776 of the family's 1533-position model. The record is from RNAcentral.